GACCCCAGGUCAGGCGGGGCUACCCGCUGAGUUUAAGCAUAUCAAUAA
Molecule: ribosomal RNA, 48 nt
Filed under: Crocus neglectus
Lineage: Eukaryota; Viridiplantae; Streptophyta; Magnoliopsida; Asparagales; Iridaceae
Description: partial 26S ribosomal RNA
Source: RNAcentral